GAUGAACGUUGGCAGCAUGGAUUAGGCAUGCAAGUCGAGCGAGAAGUGUAGCAAUACACGGAAAGCGGCGGAAGGGAGAGUAAUACGUGGGAAUCUGCCCUUAGACCUGGGAUAGCAGCGGGAAACUGCUGGUAAUACCAGAUAAUGUCUAUGGACCAAGGUGUGAUUCCGUCUAGGGAUGAGCCCACGUCCUAUUAGCUAGUUGGUAGGGUAAUGGCCUACCAAGGCGAUGAUGGGUAGCGGGUGUGAGAGCAUGACCCGCCUCACUGGGACUGAGACACUGCCCAGACACCUACGGGUAGCUGCAGUCGAGAAUCGUCGGCAAUGGGCGCAAGCCUGACCGAGCGAUGCCGCGUGCGGGAUGAAGGCCUUCGGGUUGUAAACCGCUGUCGAGGGGGAGCAACUUCCAUAGAGUUAUCUUUAUGGAUUGAGUGAUCCCUGGAGGAAGGACGGGCUAAGUUCGUGCCAGCAGCCGCCGUAA
RNAcentral lists this ribosomal RNA (481 nucleotides) under uncultured bacterium. RNAcentral describes it as "partial 16S ribosomal RNA". It matches the Rfam family "Bacterial small subunit ribosomal RNA", at positions 28 to 523 of the family's 1533-position model. The record is from RNAcentral.